This 486-nucleotide ribosomal RNA is filed under the name endosymbiont of Sphenophorus levis. RNAcentral's name for it is "bacterial SSU rRNA". It matches the Rfam family "Bacterial small subunit ribosomal RNA", at positions 493 to 976 of the family's 1533-position model. The record is from RNAcentral. Lineage: Bacteria; Pseudomonadati; Pseudomonadota; Gammaproteobacteria.
CAGGCUAACUCUGUGCCAGCAGCCGCGGUAAUACAGAGGGUGCAAGCGUUAAUCGGAUUUACUGGGCGUAAAGCGCGCGUAGGCGGCUAAUUAAGUCAAAUGUGAAAUCCCCGAGCUUAACUUGGGAAUUGCAUUCGAUACUGGUUAGCUAGAGUGUGGGAGAGGAUGGUAGAAUUCCAGGUGUAGCGGUGAAAUGCGUAGAGAUCUGGAGGAAUACCGAUGGCGAAGGCAGCCAUCUGGCCUAACACUGACGCUGAGGUGCGAAAGCAUGGGGAGCAAACAGGAUUAGAUACCCUGGUAGUCCAUGCCGUAAACGAUGUCUACUAGCCGUUGGGGCCUUUGAGGCUUUAGUGGCGCAGCUAACGCGAUAAGUAGACCGCCUGGGGAGUACGGUCGCAAGACUAAAACUCAAAUGAAUUGACGGGGGCCCGCACAAGCGGUGGAGCAUGUGGUUUAAUUCGAUGCAACGCGGAAAGAACCUUACUG